UACAGAGGGUGCAAGCGUUAAUCGGAAUUACUGGGCGUAAAGCGUGCGUAGACGGUUACAUAAGUCGGGUGUGAAAGCCCCGGGCUCAACCUGGGAAUUGCAUUCGAGACUGCGUAGCUAGGGUGCGGAAGAGGGAAGCGGAAUUUCCGGUGUAGCGGUGGAAUGCGCAGAUAUCAGGAGGAACACCGAUGGCGAAGGCAGCUCGCUGGGACGGUACUGACGCUGAGGCGCGAAAGCGUGGGGAGCGAACAGG
This 253-nucleotide ribosomal RNA is filed under the name uncultured bacterium. RNAcentral describes it as "partial 16S ribosomal RNA". It matches the Rfam family "Bacterial small subunit ribosomal RNA", at positions 524 to 776 of the family's 1533-position model. The record is from RNAcentral.